Molecule: long non-coding RNA, 200 nt
Organism: Symphalangus syndactylus (siamang)
Lineage: Eukaryota; Metazoa; Chordata; Mammalia; Primates; Hylobatidae
Source: RefSeq, a predicted model, not a curated record
GCUGCUGCUGUCCAUCCUGUUUGAUAGCCCCUUCCAGCUCUGAGAACUGGUGUUAUGGACACUGGUCCUCCCACGCCUGAGACCGACGUCGCCAGGACCGCGGGGUCGUGGGAACUUGGCUGUCCCCCGUCUUUCAAAUAAAGCUGUUUGUCUAAAAAAAAAAAAAAAAAAAAAAAUUAUAAAAAACAGCAACAACACAA